GUAUUACAAGAUCGGUACGUCGAGUAACCACUUCCUAGCCACGCUAAGCGGUAUGAGCACUCUUCUCUCUCAAACUGGUAUGGCGAAAACAACUUGGAGGAACGAUGAAGAUACGAACCGGAACACAGGAACCAGGAAUCCCUAUCAGGAGCCCUGCGAACCACACGAACAGACAAACGAAUACCUUACUUCUCACUUCUGGUCUCGGGUAAUUCAAGGAUCAGAUCAAGGUGAAAGGCGGACAUCUUAGAGGCAUCUGGACGUACGAUGUGGGUACAUCCUCCUUCCCACGUCACCCCCACGAACGAGUCUUGGCCGUGCCAAUAUAAGCCAUCCAUCCUGUACCAUCCCGUGAUUGUGCGAUGCGUGCACCACCCUGCCAUCCUGAUCCAUCCAUCUCCAUCGCGCAAUCCACGCAUGUCCGUCCGAUGCCAAAGAGAUAUACGCCUGAUCCGGUAAAUGUAUGUGAUCGUCAAGCGCUGGCAUCCGGAGGUCCAUGGUGAAGUGGCGAUGUGAGAUCCAGGAUUCAGGAGACUUGGAGAAAAUCGAGAGGAAACGCAAAACCACAACAAACAGACAAAUGCGAAAUUUCAGUGUGCUAUGCAACACAGUCGAAAAUCGCAGUGCAACCGCACAGCACGGCAGUCACACUACACACUGCAUUUCCGGUUGCGAAAACUGCACGCUAUCAAAGCACUGAAUUUUCCUUUUUCGAACAACGUGAAGACGGUCUUCAUCAAACCGACGCCACCCCCACGAACUUGACUGGAGCCGGAGUUGGGCACAGGACUAACCGAUGCCGAAGACGAGGUACUUGAACUACUUGCCGGUGACGGCUGACGAAUUCUUUCCUUUUUAAUUGGCGGAUGGGAAGACGCCUGUUCUCUCCCCCGCGAACUUGACUGCAUAUUAUUUAUAAUUAUUUCACCGCCUCCCCCACGAACUUGACUGGUUACCGGUGCUGAUCCCGAAGACACAACCGUUUGUGCGAUCUACAGUAGCACGCAUCUUACCAAAUCAUUGACCAACCUUUGAGGCUUCGAUCAAGGAUUGAUAAGAUAAUUUAAACUGCACUGCAGCAACUUUGCGUUACUGCAGGGCUUUACUGCCAGAUUGUACAGCUCAUUCCCUUUGCUUGAAUGGCUAUACAGUAUACACAUACAAUGCCAUAGCACUGUAUAAAUUUCUCUAAUUACUACUGCCGACCUUUAAGGUUUCAACAGUACUAAUUACAACUUCAUUUCCACAAAGCAAGCAUUUUACCUUUGCGGUUUGAAUGCUUCUUUGAUCACUGCAGCAACUUCCUGUUACUGCAAAGCUUUACUGCCAGAAUGUACAGCUGAUUCACCUUUGCGGUUUGAAUGACUAUACACAUGCAGUGUCACAGUACCGUACUAACUAAUUACUACUGUCGACCUUUAAGGUUUCAACUGUAGUAAUUAAUUUAUUAAAAUCACCCCGCUGCACUUUGCGUGCUGCAGUGAUUUUAUUUUCUAUUUUCCACACAGGUCAGUCACCGACUGUCUGUGUUUACGUUUAUCCGGUCAACUAUCUCUGGCUACUGAUUUUGGCUACCGCUUGCGGCUUGCCUUUAUCGAGCUGCUGGAGA
Long non-coding RNA from Paramacrobiotus metropolitanus, 1609 nucleotides. RefSeq lists it as uncharacterized. Lineage: Eukaryota; Metazoa; Tardigrada; Eutardigrada; Parachela; Macrobiotidae. The record is from RefSeq and is a predicted model, not a curated record. The transcript has 3 exons.